UAUAGUGUAUUUAGUUAUAUACACAUUUCAACUAUUCCCCACUAUUCUUUUUGAGUUGUAAUGACCCUGUUGCCCCUAUUGCUUAAAUCAAAUAAAAUGCAUCUGACAUCAGUUACCUCUUUUACUACCUCAAUUUUACUCGAAAAGAAAAGAUAAAAGAAGAAAUAUGAAACUCUGUAUCUCUCACUCUUAUGAGUCUUAUCCUUAGUUCUCUCGUUUGCCCAAAAAAAAAAAAAUCCUUGGUUCUUUCUCUUUUUUUCUCAAAACAUCUUUCAUAGUAUAAUUCAUAUAAUCUAAAAGACAACAAAUUGCCACUAUCAAUAAGAGUCGAGAUGAAUAAAGAAAUCUAAUUAAAAUUUCAAAAACGAUCUUGGCUGUUCAGAGACCCAGAAACUUGUGGGCAAUGGAUAGAUCGACGUGGUUCCAGAAUUUCCGUUUCAUAAUCCGAAGAGUUGAAGCCACUGUCUUUGCAUAGUGCUUAUUAAGUACUUGCAUGUUCAGAUAUGGGGAACGCUUUUUAUGUUGCUGGCCAUGAAAAAUAUAGCGUUCAUAUAGUAUAUGAUCAUUUGUUUUUUUCUUGUUUUUUUUUUCUUUGAUCAUUUGUUAUACAUCAAACGUAUAUCUACCCCACCAGGCUAAACUUUGUUGUAACCCCUCAAUAUUAAGUAUAAGCUAAUAUUACAAUAAUAUCAUUGAUUGAUUUUUUUUGUUAAA
Molecule: long non-coding RNA, 714 nt
Organism: Raphanus sativus (radish)
Lineage: Eukaryota; Viridiplantae; Streptophyta; Magnoliopsida; Brassicales; Brassicaceae
Exons: 2
Source: RefSeq, a predicted model, not a curated record